AUUAACGCUAGCGGCAGGCAUAAUACAUGCAAGUUGAACGGCAGCACAGGUAGCAAUACUGGGUGGCGCGUGGCGCACGGGUGCGUAACACGUAUGCAACCUACCCUAUACAGGCGAAUAACCUUUAGAAAUGAGGGCUAAUACGCCGUAGUAUUACAGAUGGGCAUCUAUUUGUAAUUAAAGAUUUAUCGGUAUAGGAUGGGCAUGCGUCCCAUUAGUUAGUUGGUAAGGUAACGGCUUACCAAGACGAUGAUGGGUAGGGGAUCUGAGAGGACUUACCCCCACACUGGUACUGAGACACGGACCAGACUCCUACGGGAGGCAGCAGUAAGGAAUAUUGGGCAAUGGCCGCGAGGCUGACCCAGCCAUGCCGCGUGCAGGAAGACGGCCUUAUGGGUUGUAAACUGCUUUUAUACGGGAAUAAUAGAGUGUACGCGUACAUUUAUGCAAGUAUCGUAUGAAUAAGCAUCGGCUAACUCCGUG
Molecule: ribosomal RNA, 483 nt
Filed under: uncultured bacterium
Lineage: Bacteria
Description: partial 16S ribosomal RNA
Rfam family: Bacterial small subunit ribosomal RNA
Source: RNAcentral